Small nuclear RNA from Rhinolophus ferrumequinum (greater horseshoe bat), 105 nucleotides. The record is from Ensembl. NCBI's taxonomy places the organism in Eukaryota, Metazoa, Chordata, Mammalia, Chiroptera, Rhinolophidae.
UUCCUGUGCUUGCUUUGGAAAUCUAAAAUUGAAACUACACAGAGAAGAAUAACAGGGCCCCUGUGUGAGGAUGACAUGCAAACUCGUGAAGGUUUCCAUAUUUUU